GGGCAAGGCGUGGAGACUGCAGGGUCUGCCAGGGGUCUUGGAGAAGGGGAUCCUUCCCAGUGGGGCUAGAAGGGAACCUGCCUGGUGGCCAGAACCUGGGGCCAAGUUGGCCAGGUCUUCCCCAGAGUGGCUGGUGCCCAGGGAUGCGGUCCGGGGCAAUCUAGGGGACUCACCUGAGCUCCAGAAGGGAAGUCUGGGGCAAGAUCCUGUGGUCCUUCUUGUGCCUCGAUAUGAAGUUUAUAUCUCUCUUUCUUGCCACUGUUCUGUGAAUGAGAAAAAUGUUAAUUUUCAUGAUUUAAUCUACAAUCUGAAAAUAAGUUGAUAUAUAUGAUUCAUGCUGCUACCUGAAACCAUGUUGAUGUCAUUGAUCCUACUCUGUUAAUCAAAUUGAUGUCUAACAUAGGACAUCAUGCUAUUCCUGCUUCUUCUAGAAGCCAUGUAGCUGCUUGUGGUCCUUCUUAACCACUACAUACAUUGUUGAUUUCCAAGAUCUCUCCUGCCCCUUGUGACUGCAUUAAGUUAUUGUUCUGUGUUACCAACAUGCAGAAUGUUAAUUUGCAAGAUUUAACCCACCAUCCAAACAUAAGAUGAAAUCCAUAAUUCAUGAUGGCACCUGAAACCAUGUUGAUGCCAUUGAUCUCAUGUACCUCAGUUAAGCAAAUUGAUGUCCAUGGUUGGAUGACCUACCACGCUCUUCCUGCUAUUUCUGGAAGACUUGUUGAUGCUUGUGAUCUUUCUUACUGUGGAUAUGACACUGAUGUCCAUAUCCAUGGAGAUCUUCUGAUACCUGAUAUCCUAUUGAUGCAAGAAUUCUGUGCUGGCAAUGUGAUGAAUGUUAAUUGCCAUGAUCUCAGCUACCAUCUGAAACUGUUAUUUACUUGCUGUCACCUGCAACCUUGUUGAUGAGAUUGAUACCUGCUGUCCUCUUUAUCAUUUUCAUAAACCUUACUGUGCUAUUCCUAUUGUUUUGAAGUCCAUGUUGAUACUUUGUGGUACUUUUUGAUCCUGGAUAAGAUGUUGAUAUUGAUGGUCUGACCUGCUACCUGAGACCAUGCUGAGGUAAGUUUUCUGUGUUGCCCACAUGAAGAAUAUUGAUUUCCAUGAGUUGACCUGCCAUUGGAACUUAAGUUGAUAUCUGUAAUUCAUUCUGUCCCUGAAACAAUGUUGAUAUCACUGAUCCUUGUUUCUUUUGUUUAUCAUGUUAAUUACCACGAUCUGACCUACCAUGCUGUCCCUACUGCUUCUGGAAGCCAUGUUGAUGCCUGUGGUUCUUGGUGCCCAGGGAUAUGAUGUUGAUGUCGAUCUUCUGACUCCUGAAUCCGUGCUGAGCUAUGUUGCUGCCCAUGAUCUGACCUACCAUUCAACCUCUACUGCUUCAGGGAGCCAUAGUGAUGCCUGCAGUCCUUGUUGCCCCUGGAUACAAUGUUGAUGUCUGUGUUCUGUCCUGCCACUUGAGACCACAUUGAGCUGUCAACCAUGUUGAGGUUACUGAACUUUGCUACCACCUGUAACCAUAUUGAUGUCUGCAGUGUACAGUGUCAUCAGAAACAAUGUUGAAGUCAUUCGUUCAUACUGCUACCUGAGACCCAGCUCAAGCAACCAUGUUGAUGUGACUGAUUCUCGCUGCCUGUCUUAACCUUGCUGAUAUCCAUGAUUCGACCUGUCAUCUGAAACUUUCUUGAUGUCACUGAUCUUUGCUGUUGCUGUCAACCAUGUUGAUGCUACUGAAACUUGCUUCCACUUGUAACCAUACUGCUGUCUGUAGUCUGUUAUCAUCUGAGACAAUGCAGAAAUCAGUGGUGCAUACUACCACCUGAGACCCACUUCAGGAAACCAACCUUGUUGAUGUCACUGAUCUUUGUUCCCUGUUUUGACCAUGUGGAUGUCCAUUAUCUGACUUAACAUCUGAAAUUAUGUUGAUGUCACUCAUUCAUGCUGCCUCUGAUAACCAUGUUUAUGGCAAUAGUCUUUGUUGGAAUCUUAGACCUUGUGGAUGUCCAUUGUCUAUGUUGCCACCUGAACCCAUGAUGAUGACCAUGAAGAUUGUAGUCUGUGCUGCUGCUGGGGGUAAGGUCAAUAUAAAUGAUCUGAGCUGCCAACAGAAACUAUUUUAAUAUCAUUAAGCCAUCCUGGUGCUAGAGACCAUGCUGACAUCUUUGUCCUUGCUGCCACCAAAAACUAUGUUUAUGUUCAUGCUCUGGGCUGCAUGCUGAAGGCCAGUUGAAUAUCCAUGACCCAGAUGCUGAUGGAGAAUGUGUCAUGUAUGUGGUUAGUACUGCCACAAGAAGUCAUCCUGAUAGUGAUCUGUGAUGCCUCUCGCAAAUAUGUUAUGUUGGUGAUCUGUGUUGAUGUCAUGGACCAGAUGGAUGUCAGUUAUCCAAGCUGUCACCAGAAAUCUUGUGGACCAUGAUCUGUGCUGCUGCUGGAAAGCCUGUAAAAGUCUAUGAUCCAUUCUGCUACUGAAAACCAUGUGGAAGUCCGAGAUCUGUACUGCCACUGACUUCUAUUGGCAGGGAGCUUCUUUUGCAGUGGUAUCAAUGACUGUAGACUCACAACUGAAAUUCAGACAGACAUUGAAGGCUUCUGUGCCACCAUCCCCUCAAAAAGAAAAUCCAGACAGGAUCUUAUUGGAGAGUCCUUGAAAGUUGUAAUAAAAAUACUAUAUGUA
Molecule: long non-coding RNA, 2668 nt
Organism: Peromyscus eremicus (cactus mouse)
Lineage: Eukaryota; Metazoa; Chordata; Mammalia; Rodentia; Cricetidae
Exons: 5
Source: RefSeq, a predicted model, not a curated record